This 238-nucleotide ribosomal RNA is filed under the name uncultured bacterium. RNAcentral describes it as "partial 16S ribosomal RNA". It matches the Rfam family "Bacterial small subunit ribosomal RNA", at positions 539 to 776 of the family's 1533-position model. The record is from RNAcentral.
CGUUGUUCGGAAUUAUUGGGCGUAAAGGGUGCGUAGGCGGUCUGCCAAGUCUGAUGUGAAAUCUAUGGGCUCAACCCAUAGUCUGCAUCGGAAACUGUCGGGCUUGAGUAUGGGAGAGGUGAGUGGAAUUUCCGGUGUAGCGGUGAAAUGCGUAGAUAUCGGAAGGAACACCUGUGGCGAAAGCGGCUCACUGGACCAUUACUGACGCUGAGGCACGAAAGCUAGGGGAGCAAACAGG